GACGAACGCUGGCGGCGUGCCUAAUACAUGCAAGUAGAACGCUGAAGGAGGAGCUUGCUUCUCUGGAUGAGUUGCGAACGGGUGAGUAACGCGUAGGUAACCUGCCUGGUAGCGGGGGAUAACUAUUGGAAACGAUAGCUAAUACCGCAUAAGAGUAGAUGUCGCAUGACAUUUGCUUAAAAGCUGCAAUUGCAUCACUACCAGAUGGACCUGCGUUGUAUUAGCUAGUUGGUGCGGUAACGGCUCACCAAGGCAACGAUACAUAGCCGACCAGGGAGGGUGAUAGGACAAACGGGGACAGAGACACGGCCCAGACUUAUACGAGAGGGAGCAGUAGGGAAGAUUCGGAAAAGGACGGAAGGCUGAACGAGCAACGCAGCGUGAGUGAAGAAGGUAUAAGGAUCGUAAAGCUCUGUUGUAAGAGAAGAACGAGUGUGAGAGUGGAAAGUUCACACUGUGACGGUAUCUUACCAGAAAGGGACGGAUAACUACGUG
Molecule: ribosomal RNA, 495 nt
Filed under: uncultured bacterium
Lineage: Bacteria
Description: partial 16S ribosomal RNA
Rfam family: Bacterial small subunit ribosomal RNA
Source: RNAcentral